This 427-nucleotide ribosomal RNA is filed under the name uncultured bacterium. RNAcentral's name for it is "partial 16S ribosomal RNA". It matches the Rfam family "Bacterial small subunit ribosomal RNA", at positions 355 to 774 of the family's 1533-position model. The record is from RNAcentral.
UGGGGAAUAUUGCACAAUGGGCGCAAGCCUGAUGCAGCCAUGCCGCGUGUAUGAAGAAGGCCUUCGGGUUGUAAAGUACUUUCAGCGGGGAGGAAGGGAGUAAAGUUAAUACCUUUGCUCAUUGACGUUACCCGCAGAAGAAGCACCGGCUAACUCCGUGCCAGCAGCCGCGGUAAUACGAAGGGGGCAAGCGUUAAUCGGAAUUACUGGGCGUAAAGCGCACGCAGGCGGUUUGUUAAGUCAGAUGUGAAAUCCCCGGGCUCAACCUGGGAACUGCAUCUGAUACUGGCAAGCUUGAGUCUCGUAGAGGGGGGUAGAAUUCCAGGUGUAGCGGUGAAAUGCGUAGAGAUCUGGAGGAAUACCGGUGGCGAAGGCGGCCCCCUGGACGAAGACUGACGCUCAGGUGCGAAAGCGUGGGGAGCAAACA